AACCACAAGGGGAGCUAAAUAGCUGAGAGUGAACGUUUUGUUCUGACCCUUCGAACCUGUUAGUUAAUGCUAGCGCAGGGAUGUGGAUUAUGA
This 93-nucleotide non-coding RNA is filed under the name Robertmurraya massiliosenegalensis. RNAcentral's name for it is "TPP riboswitch (THI element)". It matches the Rfam family "TPP riboswitch aptamer (THI element)", at positions 6 to 98 of the family's 105-position model. From Rfam's summary of the family: Vitamin B(1) in its active form thiamin pyrophosphate (TPP) is an essential coenzyme that is synthesised by coupling of pyrimidine and thiazole moieties in bacteria. The previously detected thiamin-regulatory element, thi box was extended, resulting in a new, highly conserved RNA secondary structure, the THI element, which is widely distributed in eubacteria and also occurs in some archaea. The record is from RNAcentral. Lineage: Bacteria; Bacillati; Bacillota; Bacilli; Caryophanales; Bacillaceae.